This 8442-nucleotide long non-coding RNA is filed under the name Triticum aestivum (bread wheat). RNAcentral's name for it is "long non-coding RNA (TAES_LNC016578)". Lineage: Eukaryota; Viridiplantae; Streptophyta; Magnoliopsida; Poales; Poaceae. The record is from RNAcentral.
UCCCUAGUUCUGACAAUGCCUAGUGCAUGCAUUAGAGUGUUGCAUCAUGUUUAAAUUUCAUUUAAACCUGAAAUGGGGAUUGUUCAAACCCUAGCAUCAAAGAGGAAUUCAAAUAGGUUCAACCAAAAUAUUUUUCAAUGAUUUCAAAAUGCCCUUUAAAAAUGUUCAUCAUUUCUGGAUCAAGGUGGAAGCAUCUACCAAAAAUGGUUCACAUUUUUGCAGGACAUAUUUGGACUUUGAAUUAAUUCAAACAUAUUUGAAUUGGGGCUAUUUAAAUGCUAUAAAUAUUUUAGAUGCUCCAAAAAUGUUGGAAAUUGUUGAGGGUCACUGAAAUAAUUCAGAAAGCACCCAUAAUUAUUUCCAGGAUUUUAUGAAAUGGUUUAGCUUUAUUACUAAACCAAAACAAAAUAACAGAAAUAGAAAAACUAAAAUAAAAGAGAGAGAGAGAGACUCACCUGGGCACUUACCUGGCGCCCACCAAGCCCACCUGGGCCUCACCUGCGCUGGCCCAGCCCACCUGGCCUGGUGCCAGUCAUCACCUACCUUUGCCAGUAGGCAGAGGAGGGACACCGCGACGUGCCCGAGCUCGCCACGCCUUCUCCUGCUUGCCGCCGAACCCCUGGACGCGUGGGUGAACGUCCAGCGUCGCCCCGAACCGCUCGACCCCUCUCACUCUCCCUGAGUUCUCCCCCCUCCUCUGCUCCUCUCUCCCGAGCGCACCGCGGCACGCCGCCGAGCACCACCGCGGCAACCGCCUCCCCCUCGCCUCUCCGACGUGCCCCCGAGCUCCGCCGUGACGUACCCGUCCCUACCACGGAGCCACAAGACGCCGGACGCCCUGGAGCGCCGUCACCGACGCCAUCUUCUUCCUCUGCACCGACGGCCGCCGUCGCUUGAUUCGCCGCCCACAGAGCAUCCCCGGCCUCGCCCUCGUGCUCGUUGGACUCGCGGUGAGCCGCUGACCCGUUCCCCUCUUCUUCCCAUGCCGUUUGGCCGCUCUAGCCAUUGCUUCCGCCGGACCCGAGAGCUCGCCACCGCCGUGCCUCAUCAUCGUCGUGGCCAGAGCCACCGUGGCUCAAAGCCGGGCACACCACUGUGCUCCAAACCUCACCAGGAGCACGUAGAACCCACCAGCUUCCCCUCCCGAGCACCACAACGCCAAACCCGCAGGUGCCCGAACUCCGGCCGCCGCCUUGGAGCUCGCCGCCGUCGACUCAGGCCACCCCAACUCCUCCCGUUCGCUCCAUUAGAUGUGCCGCAUUGCCAGCUGGCCGUAGCCGCAAACCACGAGUAAAACGGUGCCCUGUAGCGCAAACCCGACGCGGACGCCGCCGCGAUCUCAGGUCGCCGGCGGUUAAACGCCGGCAGCUGACGUGGCACCAUUAGUUUAGGUGCUAAUUAUGUUUAGUUAUUACCUGUGUCAAUGACAUGUGGGUCCCCGCGGAUAUUUAGGUUAGUCUAAUUUUCUGUUAAGAUUAGUACUAAUCUGAGUGGACCCCACGUGUCAGCUUAGACCCUGGUCAAGUCAACGUUGACCGAUCCUACCUGUCAUACACCCAGACCAGCCUGAGGCACUGACGUAUGGGUCCCACAAGUCAGGUUUGACCUGGCCGACCCAGUUGACCUGCUGACAUCACACCUAUGUCAUGCUGACGCAAUAACUCUUUUCUGGAUUUAUUCUUUUACAGUAAAUUCCAGAAAAUAAUGCAAACUUCUAAAAUUCAUAUAAAUUCAACCGUAACUCCAAAUGAGAUAAAUUAUAUAUGAAAAAUGAUCAGAAAAAUCCAAUCUAUCCAUCUGUACCAGUUUCAUGCAUGUUUAGACAAGUUAACUUGCUGUUUAGUGCAAAACAUGAUAAAGCACUAUUUAAGAUCACAAAUGUGUUUGAACUUUGAAUCUUUGGUUCAAAAUAGCUCAAACCCAUCUGGUUGUAGUUGCAUUAGCCCAACACACUCAUUUUACCAUGUCAUGAUCAUGCAUCAUAUUGUGCAUUGCAUUGAUUGUGUUUCUUCUCUGUUGCCGGUAUUUGUUCCCUCUCGAUAGACGUGGUUUCGAUGAUGAGAUCGAUGACACUGAUGAACAGCUAUAUUAUCUUCGGAAGUGCCAGGCAAGCAAAACCCCCUUGUUCAUUCCGAUACAAUCCUACUCUCUCGCUCCUGCUCUAUUUUACUGCAUUAGAACAACAACGAUACAACUGUUACUUGCUGCGGUAGUUGAACCCCUUUAUCCUCUGCAUGACCUAUCAUUGCCACAGUAAAUAGAUGAAACCCACUAGCAUGAGUAGGAGUUGUUUGAGCCAUGAUGUGCCUACUCAUUCAUGCUUGUUUGUCAUGCCUGCUAUUGCUUAGAGUUGAGUCAGGUCUGAUUCAUCAGGGAUGAAUUGGAGGUGUGUGAACAUGUCCUACCGUGUGUAAGCUAAGUGUGAGAACACGAUUUGGUAAAGGUAGCGGUGAGAGGCCAUGUAGGAGUACAUGGUGGGUUGUCUCAUUGCAGCCGUCCUCAGGAACUGAGUUCUGUGUUUGUGAUCCAUGAACAGUUACUACCACACAUUGGGUUCCGGUAACUCGACCCCUCUCGGCUUCUUAAUCACCCUUGUUCUCUGUCCAGGAGUUGCAACUAGUUUCUGGUGUUUGUAGGUAGUGCUAUUUUUCUACCAAGUGGCACCCGGCAGGGUGGGCUUGGGACAGACUAGGCACACGUGGCCUGGUGUACCGAGUGGCACCCGGAUGGUGGGCUCGGGAACCCUGCACACAUCGUUUGGGGCUGUGAGCGACACCCCGGCCGGAUCUCCUUGCGGAUGGAACCCGAAUAGGCGAUAAACCUGGACAAGAGACUUGAGUGUUUAGGUAGGUCGUGGCCGACUCCCUCGCCCGGCUUCCGCUUGAAGGUUGCCGAGGUACAUGACGUGUACAGGGCGAUAAGUGGCGAGAGCGUGUGUGAAGAAGUACACCCCUGCAGGGUUAUCAUUAUCUAUUCGAAUAGCCGGAUUCCUCGGAUAUGGAAACUUGGACCCCUUGCAUAGUUCAUAGACAAGUGAAAGUGGAUACUCUAAAAUACGCAAGAUAAGCGUGAGUGCUAUGGAUGGCGUUCUCGUAGGGAGACGGGAGCGGAUCCAUAGUGGUGUAUUGAUAUGGUGAAUAUGUGGACUCGUGUGCGCCACCUCAAAAGAGUUACUUGCAGUCGUAGUUCAGGUUAGCCACCGAGUCAAAGCUGGCUUGCUGCAGUUAAACUCCACCACCCCUUUGUUGAUAAUGAUGCAUAUGUAGUUAGUUCUGAUGUAAGUCUUGCUGGGUACAUUUGUACUCACGUUUGCCUAUUUUAUGUUUUUUGCAGAGAGACUUCAGUCUCGCUAGUAGUUCCACGUGGACUUCAACGUUUAGCUUGUUACCUCAGCUACGAUCUUGUGCCCUCGGCAGGAUCUUGUAGAUAGUCAGGCUUCUAAGCCUUUUUCAUUUGUAGAUGUCUGUACUCAGACAUGUUAGCCUCCGCUUGUGCUUUGACUUGUAUGCUCUGAAUGUUGGGUCGUGAGACCCAUGUUUGUAAUAUCUCACUCCUCGGAGCCUAAUGAAUACAUACUUGAGUCGUAGAGUCAUGUUGUGAUGCCAUGUUGUAUUUGCACAUAUCGAGCAUAUUGUGUGUAUGCUAUUGAAAUGCUUGGUAUGUGUGGGAUCUGACUAUCUAGUUGUUUAUCUUUAGUAGCCUCUCUUACCGGGAAAUGUCUCCUAGUGUUUCCACCGAGCCAUGGUAGCUUGCUACUGCUCCGGAACACUUAGGCUGGCCGGCAUGUGUCCUUCUUCGUUCCUGUGUUUGUCCCUUCGGGGAAACGUCACGCGAUGAAUACCGGAGUCCUGUUAGCCCGCUACAGCCCGGUUCACCGGAGUCCUGCUAGCCCAGUGCUACAGCAUGGAUUCACUCGCUGAUGACCGACACGUUCGAUGCUGGGUCAUGGAUGCCUAUCCCUGUAAGUUUGUGCCACUUUGGGUUUACGACUAGCCAUGUCAGCCUGGGCUCCUUAUCAUAUGGAUGCUAGCGACACUAUCAUAUACGUGUGCCAAAAGGCGCAAACGGUCCCGGGCAAAGGUAAGGCGACACCCGUGGGAAUACCGUGCGUGAGGCCGCAAAGUGAUAUGAGGUGUUACAUGCUAGAUCGAUGUGGCAUUGAGUCGGGGUCCUGACAGCUUUGGUAUCAGAGCUUGACUGCCUAUAGGAUUACCAAGCCAAACUGGUCGAAGUUGAGUCUAGAAAUGCUUUAGUUAUAUGUAGGGGAAUUGAUUGUGGGAAGGGAAUGUAAGGCUCUUUUUACUUCUUAUACCUCAUGGCCUUCUGAUCUGAGUCAUCCUCUUCUCUUCUACGGGGAUUAAGAACUAGGCCUUCUCAUUUAUCUAUCAGGAUGACUAUUACUAAACCAUAGACUUAUAGAAUUGAUAGUUUCAAAUCUCAGUUCAGUUUUACUACUUCCGUAUGUUCAUAACUGUUGAUCUCGAAACCUUGAUAUUAUGCCUCGGAGUGGCUAUGCCACCAUUUUUGUAGCAUGUCUCCAAUCAUUUUGAGCAUUUACAGCCGUUAUGCUGUCCGAGUCAUCCCAGGUUUCUAAACAAUCUGAUGCACUUGCAAAUCCUUUCCCUCUGGUUUUGAUGUUCCUUUGGGCCAGAUUAAUCACACUAAAUGCUGAGUUGAGGUAUUCUAUUGCCUCGACAUAUAUGUUGGAAUUAUUAUUAUGAACCUAGGUGUCUUAGGGGAUCAUCUAGUAAUCUAUCCAUGUUUUGUGUUCCCGGUGUGAUGAUUCUGGCCACCAUUCUUGAAAGCAUCCCGUGAUGCCAUUUAGUAGUAGGUAUUCUACUCCUGGGUUUUAAACCCGAGAUUCACCCUACCUACUUCAUGUUGAUAGUGUUUGCUAGUUCCUUUAGGUUAUUAGUAACCUUUGCGUUAGUCCUCGAGGUACGUGGUAUUUCCUUCUUCCAAAUACUAUGAACCGCUUAUGGCAGAAGUUCCUCGCUGAACCGAAGGAUCACAAUUAGAGUACUCUUGAGGAGUUCUCCAUUCAUAAUUGUGAAUCUGCCAGUUCUAACCUUUCCGCAUGGGUUAUCUGGAAGAAAUGUUGAGCUACGCUCGACAUACUAAUCUAUGCAUCCACAACUCAGAAAGUUAUAUGUUCCUUUGACUUGUUCUCUUUAGUUGUGUCCUGACCCUCGUCUAUCAAUUGAUAGUCAAGAGUAGGCUUGCAUUCGUUUAUCGAUGCCUAUUACUCUUGUGGUCCGUCAAGCCAUUCUAUCCGGAAUGACUUGGAGAAACAAACUCCAGUACCUCAUCCAUAUCCAGGAUUGGGUCAAAGUAGUUGCAAUCCGCAAAUCAAAUGCCAAUCCAGCUUUUGAUUCUGUUCUACCUCAGAGUAUUACCCCCUUUAUGUCAGGAUUCUCAUGAGAAUUGCAUCAUUUCUCAUAAAUUCUUGACGUAGUGAUACUUCUCGCUAUCAUUUUUCAUUCCUCGGUGCUGUGUUAUUGUAACCGGAAUGCUAACAAGUGAACUGUGAUGUGUGAAAUCGAUACUUCCAGCAACCUCGCUGCUUGGUAGUAAAUGGACAAUAUUCUCAUUCUUAGCGUGUUGGUUAUUGAAUCAUCAUCCUAAGAUUGAUCGUGCUACCUAGUCCGUAUUUUUGGUGCACUCUUCAAUCAAUAGUUAGGAUUAUUUAGUCCCUUGCAUAUUUGAUCAUAUUGUCUUGCCCUGAAAAGCAAGAUUGUUCUCAAGCUUAGUAACAUACCGGUGGUUCGUGAUUUUCCGUAUAUCUUCUCGAAAGUAUUACCAGGUUGUCACCUGACUGCUAUGUUGAGUUCGUGAUCAAGAUGGUUUCUUGUAAACCACCCCUUCUCCAAGAAUCUGUGUGGGAUACCCCUGAGCUAGUUGGUCAAGCUAAACAACAACUUGGAGAGUUGGAAGAUGGAAGCUUGUCCGAUUUAGUUCAUCUUAAGGGAUAUCUUGUGUGUGUUGAAGAAAGAUGAUAUCUUCAUCGAUUGGUCCUCGUGAUUAGUUGUUGGAUCUACUGCGUUGUCAAAACUUUGACUUGAGUAUGGGCUAUUGUCAAGUCAUAUCAGAACCAAUGAUGUGCGUAAUGUUGUCUUACCCGUGGUUGAUCCCUCGGGCAUACACCAUUAUAUCCUUUGGUCUGACCAAUGCUAUCACUGUGUUCACCUAAUUAUGGAAUUCCAUUUAUAUGGAAACCAGGAUGAACUGUUGUUGAGCCCAUCGACAACAUCCUUAUCUUCUCCAUAAUCUUGUUGAACAUUAAGCUAGUAUUGGAAACUUUUGAAAGCAUUUCUUCAUGCUAGCUCAUGAAGCAUAUGUCUAGAUGAAAGAAGUGACUCUCUCUAACUCAUGUGCAUUUGAUGCAAGCUGCCGCCGUGGGUUCGAGAAAGUUAGUUUUUGCUUCCUCUGGAAUCAUCCCAAGUUGGUCACGCAUAUGUGCGAAGUACUCUAUGGUUUGAUAGGUUGGCCGCCUCCAUUCUAUAUGUGUUCCUAGCACACCAAGCCACUGAUUGACUUGUUCAAGGAGAAGAAGCUCCUUCUUAAGAGUAUACCUUAUGCAAGGACUUUGAUAUCCUCGAUGAUGAUUCCCCACCUGAACUCGGUAGUGUUUUAUUAUAAGACUACUAUGUGGCCAUGUUUGUCUGGGACAACGUGUUCACGUGUUUGUAGCAAAACCAGCUCAUGUUUUGGAGCUUACUACCGUAGUCCAUUUCCCGAGAAUCUCGCAACGUCGUCUCGUCGAUUUGUGUUGCAAACUUUCAUUCUUCUUUCUAGACUUGAUGAGUCUGGAAUAUUCUGACACCAACCAGAUCUGAAUCUCAGGCAGAGAUGAUGGUUGGGACAUUUCCCAAGAACUAUAAUAUUGGUCUCUCGAUAACCGGUAAAGUGGAUGUCAUGGUCAACACACCCAGCCGGAAGACCUAUUAUUGUAGUAUCUUGAUGGAGAAAGUUGGCCACCUCCCCAUGAGGAUUUCGUAGGAUUUACUCCCUAGCUGUCCCUUAUGGAUUUUUGUGUUUCUGAAGUCCGACCUUUACUUGAUGUUCUAGAUACCAGACCAUUUCAAUGAAUGGGAUACGCUAAUACAUCAAGGAGAACAUUAGAAGCGGAGUGCUAAAUGUCUCUCGGUCGAUCGUCCAGAUUUCGUCCCCUUGGCCUCGCUAAGGUGAAAUAUGAGAAAGUGUUAUCUUCCUUUGCAUCUGCAUCGUCCAUCGCUACUCAUCAUGGUAGUAUGUUGUGUUGUCAGCACCCUUGACACGGAUGUUAAUAAAACCUUGAUGAUAUGGAAAUGCUCAAGUUCUUGAGAGCACACACAAGCGCUAAGUGUUAUCAUCGGCACUAACUGGGAUUGCUCUCAGUUUCCUCGGUUAUGCUAUAACCAAUCCAACAGUGGAUUCACUCUCUACUGUUGAGCUUCUCCCUAGUUACUAAAAUCAUCCAUUGUGUUUCCUCAACAAGGUAAUCCACAUCAUCCAUACUAGUCUGGGUAUGUCAUUCUUCCGGACUCCUUCAAAUGAUCGAUUAUGAUUUGCCUUAGGCUGGUAUAAAGAGUUUCAAUGAUCUCUGAAUCAAAGGUAAUUCUUUUUGCCACUCAAGGGGAUACUUCUACAAGUCACCUUCCCUAAGGUGUCUCGUUGUGGUAUCAUGGCAACUAUUUUCCUCGCUACUUUGAAACCUCAUCAAAUUGUUUCCUCCGUCCUUCAUGAUGUGUGUUUUGCCUCUCAGCUCAAGAGAUGUUCUACAUCUCAUCCCGUGAGUUGAUCUUGUGGUCAUUAAAAUGAUCCAUCCUUGUAGAGUGUUUCUAUCCUCGUGUUGGAUGAAGAUCUCAAAAACAAAGACGUCAAGAUCAAUUGGAGCAAUGAAUCAGCAUCCUCGAGAAAGACAUCUGGAUCAUGAAGUUGUGUUAGCUUGUGCCCCCUUUGUCUUCUUACCUCACGUCUUAAAUCUCGGGACGAGAUUCUUGUUUAGUAGGGGUGAGCUGUCACAUCCCUAGUUCUGACAAUGCCUAGUGCAUGCAUUAGAGUGUUGCAUCAUGUUUAAAUUUCAUUUAAACCUGAAAUGGGGAUUGUUCAAACCCUAGCAUCAAAGAGGAAUUCAAAUAGGUUCAACCAAAAUAAUUUUCAAUGAUUUCAAAAUGCCCUUUAAAAAUGUUCAUCAUUUCUGGAUCAAGGUGGAAGCAUCUACCAAAAAUGGUUCACAUUUUUGCAGGACAUAUUUGGACUUUGAAUUAAUUCAAACAUAUUUGAAUUGGGGCUAUUUAAAUGCUAUAAAUAUUUUAGAUGCUCCAAAAAUGUUGGAAAUUGUUGAGGGUCACUGAAAUAAUUCAGAAAGCACCCAUAAUUAUUUCCAGGAUUUUAUGAAAUGGUUUAGCUUUAUUACUAAACCAAAACAAAAUAACAGAAAUAGAAAAACUAAAAUAAAAG